ACUAGGCAUGUGACAGGUUGGAAGAACCUUUAGAGCUUUGGCACAAAUGCAUCCAAGACCCCAGCAGCAAAAUUAUAGUGACCUUUGUUAAGAAUAAAAAAAAGGAAAAGGGCAAACGGAAAAGGCAGAAUGUUGCUUCAAAAAAAAAUGACUGAAUAAACCUUUUAGUUCAAGUCUAUUUAUCCUAAUGUAGCUACUUACAAACCGGCUUCUGGUCUUCUCCUGUGUAAAGUAGCAGCACUGAUGGUCAGCUGAGAUGAAGGACAAAUGGAGGGAGAACCAUGUGCAUGAUCUUGACCUUGACCUUGAGUGCCUUGGAGGAAAGGGCACAUGAGGCAGGAAAAUCCAGUGAAGAAGACCAACCUGAAGCAUGGGAGGAAAGAAGGAAGGGAAGAAGCAAUCAGCAUUCUGUUCAGAGGAUUUCCUUAGGAAAGCAAGCAGAGGAAGCAGAACACAGCCUGCAGCAGAUAAACCUGCAUCCACACCUCUUUCCAGGGCAAGGUGAUAAAAUGCAGUUACUGAUCAUAUACCUGGUUACAGCAACUUGACAUCUUCAGCUUAUGAUGAAAGAUACAAAUGAACUGCACACAGUUGCAACUCAAUAUGUGUCUGUACUUUCAAUCCCCCCCCCCGGGAGAUGUCAAAAAGGUGUUAAGGUUUUCAUGAAUCUAGAGGUGGGGAUACGUAAAAAACAUUGCCAUAAUUCCAAAUCACUGCGCUUGACCAUAAAAGUUUAGAUGUAGGUAGGGAUGGGGGAGAAAUUUGAUUCAGUUCACAUUUAAAGGCAAACAACAUUUUCCAAAAAAGUACAUGAACCAAAACAGCUAUCCUUAGAAAUCGGCAUUUCUAUGAAUUUUGCAGUACAGUUUUCUAGCCAAGUAAUGUGUACAAAAAUGGGUAUACUACUACUACUUUAAAAAAUGCAUAUACAGGGGUAAAGUGCACAUUAAAAUGUAUAUAUUAGUGAAAAUAACUUACAGAAAUGUGUUAUA
Molecule: long non-coding RNA, 992 nt
Organism: Rhineura floridana
Lineage: Eukaryota; Metazoa; Chordata; Lepidosauria; Squamata; Rhineuridae
Exons: 3
Source: RefSeq, a predicted model, not a curated record